Hypanus sabinus (Atlantic stingray) is the source of this 4528-nucleotide RNA transcript. It is a transcript of the gene named zinc finger protein 239-like, with no coding region annotated. The transcript is spliced from 3 exons. The record is from RefSeq and is a predicted model, not a curated record. Lineage: Eukaryota; Metazoa; Chordata; Chondrichthyes; Myliobatiformes; Dasyatidae.
AUGGAACUGUCGGUGUUUUGCCUUUGACUUUGGUUAGUGCUGCUUCUACAGAUGGGGCCUGAUGUUCGUCCUUCUGCAGUGAAGCAGACAUUUCAAGCAGCUGGACAUUGCUUGUGGGGAAAUUCCAGAUUGCACUACCCAUUGUGAGAUGCAGGGACAAUGUGUGAGACUCUCAGGAUCGACCUGAAAUCAGAGAUUUAUUGGAAGAAAAAACCACAACUGAAGACAAGGGACCAACAACAAGUGAACCAGCCCGAAGAUUGAGAGCAACAACUGGAGAGCACCCAUCUGACUCGGAGAAUCCAGUGAAUCAGUCAGGAGAAAGUUUGAGCCACACAACCCCACUACCAGCUUGUUCAUUGCAGAAAUGUACAAGUAUCUGAGAAACAAGAGGACCUACAGAUGCUGGAAAUCUACAGAACUACACACAAAGUGCUGGAGGAGCUCAGUAUGUCAGGCAGUGUCUGUGGAUGUGAAUCAACAUUUCGGGCCCUUCAUCGGGACUCCUGAUACCCACGUAUCUGGAAUAUCAACAAGCAAAGCAAAUAGAAAGUAGUGCGAAAUCAGGAAAACUUUUGACAAAAUAUAGUUCAAUGCUUAAAAAACCUGCCAAACAGAGCUCAGCAGUUAACAGAAACACAGGCAAUAAACAAAUAGUUAACAAUAAUACAUAGGCAAUAAACACUUUAUCAAUACCAACAUUUAGUUUCUUUUAUAAAAAUUUGUUGGUCCCAUUUCAAUCAGUAAAAUUUACAAAGAUAAAUAAGAACUGAAAUGACAACUUUAGAAAAGACUAUUUACACUCAAACCCACUUAGAUUAACACUACCUUGGAUAGAAGGAGAAAGAGAAUUAACACACAUGAAAAAAAAUCACACAACAGUCAGAAACUCCUAAGUAUAUAUUUUCAUGAAAAAUAAACAGGAUUCAGCACUGCAUGUGCGUAUAUGCAAUCGUGAUAAGAAAUACAGACUGGAAAACAAAUGAACGGCCAACUCUGAAAAAUGAAUCAUCAAUAUGGAAGAAAACAUUAAUCAGUGGAAUGAGUAUGACCCUCCAUGGGAGACAUCCCAAUGAUCUGAGCAGGUGAGAUGGUGACAACGGAGCAUCGAGCACCUGAUUAAGAGUUGGACUCUUCCCAGAAACAGAGGGGUUUCUUGCAGAAAUACAGGACAAGGUGGUUAACAAAAGGAAAAACAAAUCAAAAAUACAUGAAAUACAAACAAACAAGGCAAUAAGUGCAGAAAAUGCCAAGAGAAACCAAACACAAUCCAACAGAUAUUAGGAUCCUGCAGCAGUUUAACUCAAUGUGAUUAUUAACAAAGGUACAAUCAAGUGGCAAAUAUCAUUCACCAAAAUCUUGCUUGAAAAUACAAAUGCAGGAAUGCCCUCCAUCACUUCAUAAAGGCACCAUAAAUUCAAGCAUGAUCCAGUUUUAGAGUCAAAAUCUUACAAAUUAUAUGAGAAUCAAUACAUUAUUUCAGAUAGGACAAUCCAUAAUAACCAUCUGGAUACAAAAUUACAGGAUUAGCAAGCAGGAACAACUCCCUCAAUAUAUAAAAGCAUUCCCGACACACAUGUUCCUCAACCAGUGGAGCACCUCACCACAGGUAUUGUUUGUGUCAUCAGUCAGACAAUCAAAAUAUUUUCUCUGUCAAUCAGCUUCCAAGUGUUGCUACUUUGUCAUUUGUUGCCACGCCCCGCUGCUGAUUCCCUUCUCCUUAUCAUACAUUCUUACCCCGACCAUCAUCCAGAGCUUCAAACUCUGCCCUGUGCGGACCCGCCUCUGUUUUCUGAACCUGCUUCGUUGAACAUCCAACAAUGGUUUCCCAUUCUGCUUUCAGUCUUUAGAGGACAGUGGUGUUUCAACAACCCUUUAGAAUCCGGGAAAAUGGCCCAUAAUGUGGAAAUGAGUUGUGAUUAAGGAGGUAAAAAUACCAAUGUCAUUCUUCCUCAGCCCACAGAUUAGAGGCGUGAAGAACAUUUCAGACAGAACUUCAGUCAGCUCGACUUCUUCACUAGAUACUAGAAAACUACAGCGCAAUACAGACCUUUCAGCCCUCAAUUUUGUGCCGACCCAAAGUACUAAACCCAUACUACCCUGUAACCAGCUAUUUUUCUUUCAUCCGUGUGCCUGUCCAAGGGACUCUUAAAUACCCUGAUGUUUUAGAUUCCACCACCAUCCCUGCAAGUCAUUCCAAGCACCCACAACCCUCUGUGUAAAAAUAUUACCCCUGAUGUCUCCUCUAAACUUCCCACCCUUAACUUCAUACAUAUGCCCUCUGGUGUUUUCUAUUCAUGCCCUGGUAAACAGGUACUGGCUAUCUAUGCCUCUCAUAAUCUUGUAGACCUCUGUCAAGUCCCCUCUCAUCCUUCUACGCUCCAAUGAAAAAAGCCCCAGCUCUUGCUUCAUAAGACUUGUUUUCCAAUCCAGGAAACAUUGUGGUAAAUCUCCUCUGUACCCUCUCCAUAGCUUCCACAUCCUUCCUAUAAUGAGGUGACCAGAACUGAACACACUACUCUAAGUGUGGUCUCACCAGAGAUUUGUAGAGUUGCCUCGCAUCCCAUAGGCCUUCUUAAGUAUCCUAUCAACCUGUGCAGCAACCUUGAGGGAUGUAUGGAUUUGAAACACAAGGUCCCUCUGUUCAUCCACACUCUUAAGUAAAGAUUAACCCUAUACUCAGCAUUCUGGUUUGUCCUUCCAAAAUGCAUCACCUCACCCUUGUCCGGAUUGAACACCAUCUGCCACUUUUCUACCUGACUCUGCAUACUGUCUAUAUCCUCUUGUAACCUUCGACAACCUACACCUCCAUCCACAACUCCUCCAAUCUUCGUGUCAUUCACAAACUUACCCAUCCUUCCGCCUCUUUAUCCAGGUCAUUUAUAAAAAUCACAAAGAGCAGGGGUCCCAGGACAGAUCCCUGCAGCACUCCACUAGUCACCAACCUCUAGGCAGAGUACUUUCCUUCCACUGCUUUCUUCCUGUAAGCCAAUUCUUUAUCCAAACAGCCAAGGUUUCACUGAUCCCAUGCCUUAUGACUUUCUGGAUGAGUCUCUUGUGGGGGACCUUGUCAAAUGCCUUGCUAAAAUCUACCACCCUACCCUCAUCAAUUUCUUUUGUUACUUCUCAAACAACUCAAUUAGGCUCAAGAGGCACGACCUUCCCUUCACAAAGCAAUGUUGACUAUCCUUGAGUAGACUGUUCCUUCUCCAAAUGUUCAUAGAUCCUAUCUUUAUAAUCCUUUCCAAUAGUUUGCAAACCACCGAUGGAAGACUCUACUGUUCUGUAGUUCCCGGGAUUCUCCCUAUUAACUUUUUAAAACAAGAGAACUACAUUUGCUAUUCUCCAAUCCUCCAGCACCUCCCCUGCAGCCAAAGAGGAUUCAAAGAUCAUAGCUACUGCUCCAGCGAUCUCUUCUCUCACUUCCCACAGCAACCUGGGGCAUAUCACAUCCGGCCCUGGGGACUUAUCAAUCUUGAUGUUUUUAAAAAGAUCCAACACUUCUUCUGCCUUAAUCUCCACAUUCUCCAGCAGACAGGCCUGUUCUAUUUAAACCUCAUGCUGGUCAAGGUCCUUUUCACUUGUGAAUGCUGAGGCAAGGUUCAUUUAGGACCUCCCCAACCUCCUGGUACAUGUUGCCUUCGUUAUCCUUUAGCGGCCCCACCUUCGUGCUUGUCAUGCUUCUGUUCUUCACAUACGCAUACAACACCUUGGGGUUCUCCUUAAUCCUACAUGCCAAGGCCUGCUCAUGCCCCCUUCGAGCUCUCCUGUCCUUUCUUAAGCUCCUUCCUGGCUACCCUAUAUUUCUCAUGAGCCCCUCCAGCUUCCUGCUUCUUAUACCUAACAGAUGCUUCCUUCUUCCUCGUCAGUCUGCAGAAAAUUCAAGGGAAACCUCUUCACCCACAGAGUGGAGACUGCUUGGAACCCAUCACCACAGGGAGAGAGAGAGAGAGAGAGGAGUACAACAGGGGAGGAUUUAAAAGGACUGUUGUGGAACAGAAUCACUGGCAGGGUCCAGCUAGCCUGAGUUGACACUCCAGUGUACACUAGGUGUGUUAUAAAUUCACUAAAUACUGGAGACGGGGUUUAAAUUAGAACUGAUUUAUUUGUCUCAGAUCCAGAAUAUUAAACUCCAGUCCCAUUAAAGGUGAAUGUGCAACAGAAGAAAUUCGCCCCAUAGCCAGUAAUCAGGGUGCAGAACUGGGUGUGGUGAGCAGCAGCAAUAAUUGCAGAGUUCAGCACCGACUGUCACUCUCAAAAUUACAUUCAGCAACGGUGAUGGACAAAUAUCCAGCAUGCAGCUUAUUGAAACUUUCUCCCCAUUGUGAACCCGGUAGUUUGUCACAAAUGUAACAUGCUGUAAGGUUUCACUGCUAAUGUAAUGGCCUCUCUACAAUGUUUCACUGCUGAGGUAAUGGUUUCUCUGUAGCAGCAAUUUAGAUUACAAUUAGAGGUAACAGGGUCUUGGAGUGCGGGGCUACACAAUGAGAGAAAUUUCUUUCUUGUGAGUCUGCAAGAGAGAUGUAAC